This 737-nucleotide long non-coding RNA is filed under the name Ailuropoda melanoleuca (giant panda). Its description in RNAcentral is "lncRNA (ENSAMEG00000027641.1)". Lineage: Eukaryota; Metazoa; Chordata; Mammalia; Carnivora; Ursidae. The record is from RNAcentral.
AAAAUGGAUGGAUGAGCUACACCUUGUCCAGGGCUGCUAAAAGAACUAAGAGAGAACAGGCAAGUCUCAACUCCACCUUGCCUAAGGCAAUAGAUAUAUUGCAAAUUCAUAAAAGAAUACUUUGUUCCAUCACCAUCUACCAUCAUACAUCUUAGAUUAUUGGCAAAUGGCCUAGUGUUAUGUGAAUAACCAUGUAAGUGAUUGGAACUUCUGGUCAAACGGGUACCAUGACUUCUUUACUCUCAAGAUGCUUUUCUUAUUUUUUAUAUAGGUAGAAUAAGAAAUCUUCAUUUCUGUCAGUCUCUGCAAUCCCUAACUUCUUGAAAGAAUCUGUACAAAAUGAAAAAAAAAAAAAGAAGUGGCCUUAUGUACCCCAAUCUGGAGAGAAAUACCCAGCUGAUCUCAAAAGAUAUAAGGGCUUCAAUGUUUCUAUUUGAAAUCUACAGAAAGCUGAGCCAAGUACAUGCAGCAAAUUUUAUUUUGGAUCCCCAGCUGGGAUAAUUCCGUGGUAAGCUAAAGAAUGAAAAGUCCAAUUCUUCUAAGGCUCAAUCAAAAUAUUCCGACUUUAAAACCAGGAAAUCAUCAAUGAAAAUAACAUAUUUGGAAUCAGUUAAAUGUAUUUAUUUUUUCCCCCUCAGCUCACCAUAUAUCAACAGAUCUACCUCUCACAAUAAAAUAGAAGGGAACCUGCCACAUUCUCCCAUCUCACUAUUUUAUAAAAUAAAAACCAAAUAGAA